GGAGGAGUGGCAGAGUGGUCGAAUGCACCGGUCUUGAAAACCGACGGGCGUGUAAGCGUCCCCAGGGUUCGAAUCCCUGUUCCUCCGCCA
RNAcentral lists this transfer RNA (90 nucleotides) under Paracoccaceae bacterium. Its description in RNAcentral is "Rhodobacteraceae bacterium (marine metagenome) tRNA-Ser". It matches the Rfam family "tRNA". From Rfam's summary of the family: Transfer RNA (tRNA) molecules are approximately 80 nucleotides in length. Their secondary structure includes four short double-helical elements and three loops (D, anti-codon, and T loops). Further hydrogen bonds mediate the characteristic L-shaped molecular structure. tRNAs have two regions of fundamental functional importance: the anti-codon, which is responsible for specific mRNA codon recognition, and the 3' end, to which the tRNAs corresponding amino acid is attached (by aminoacyl-tRNA synthetases). tRNAs cope with the degeneracy of the genetic code in two manners: having more than one tRNA (with a specific anti-codon) for a particular amino acid; and 'wobble' base-pairing, i.e. permitting non-standard base-pairing at the 3rd anti-codon position. The record is from RNAcentral. Lineage: Bacteria; Pseudomonadati; Pseudomonadota; Alphaproteobacteria; Rhodobacterales; Paracoccaceae.